UACGGGGGGAGCAAGCGUUGUUCGGAUUUACUGGGCGUAAAGGGCGCGUAGGCGGCUUAACAAGUCACUUGUGAAAUCUCCGGGCUUAACUCGGAACAGCCAAGUGAAACUGUCAAGCUAGAGUGCAGAAGGGGCAAUCGGAAUUCUUGGUGUAGCGGUGAAAUGCGUAGAUAUCAAGAGGAACACCUGAGGUGAAGACGGGUUGCUGGGCUGACACUGACGCUGAGGCGCGAAAGCCAGGGGAGCAAACGGG
Molecule: ribosomal RNA, 253 nt
Filed under: uncultured bacterium
Lineage: Bacteria
Description: partial 16S ribosomal RNA
Rfam family: Bacterial small subunit ribosomal RNA
Source: RNAcentral